Molecule: ribosomal RNA, 926 nt
Filed under: uncultured Bacteroidota bacterium
Lineage: Bacteria; Pseudomonadati; Bacteroidota
Description: bacterial SSU rRNA
Rfam family: Bacterial small subunit ribosomal RNA
Source: RNAcentral
UGGAUCCAGACUUUGAUUAUGGCUCAGGAUGAACGCUAGCUACAGGCUUAACACAUGCAAGUCGAGGGGAUACGAUAUUGGAAGCUUGCUUCCGAUAGGCGUCGACCGGCGCACGGGUGAGUAACGCGUAUCCAACCUGCCCACCACUUGGGGAUAACCUUGCGAAAGUAAGACUAAUACCCAAUGACGUCUCUAGAAGACAUCUGAAAGAGAUUAAAGAUUUAUCGGUGAUGGAUGGGGAUGCGUCUGAUUAGCUUGUUGGCGGGGUAACGGCCCACCAAGGCGACGAUCAGUAGGGGUUCUGAGAGGAAGGUCCCCCACAUUGGAACUGAGACACGGUCCAAACUCCUACGGGAGGCAGCAGUGAGGAAUAUUGGUCAAUGGACGAGAGUCUGAACCAGCCAAGUAGCGUGCAGGAAGACGGCCCUAUGGGUUGUAAACUGCUUUUAUAAGGGAAUAAAGUUAGUCUCGUGAGACUUUUUGCAUGUACCUUAUGAAUAAGGACCGGCUAAUUCCGUGCCAGCAGCCGCGGUAAUACGGAAGGUCCGGGCGUUAUCCGGAUUUAUUGGGUUUAAAGGGAGCGUAGGCCGGAGAUUAAGCGUGUUGUGAAAUGUAGAUGCUCAACAUCUGAACUGCAGCGCGAACUGGUUUCCUUGAGUACGCACAAAGUGGGCGGAAUUCGUGGUGUAGCGGUGAAAUGCUUAGAUAUCACGAAGAACUCCGAUUGCGAAGGCAGCUCACUGGAGCGCAACUGACGCUGAAGCUCGAAAGUGCGGGUAUCGAACAGGAUUAGAUACCCUGGUAGUCCGCACGGUAAACGAUGGAUGCCCGCUGUUGGUCUGAAUAGGUCAGCGGCCAAGCGAAAGCAUUAAGCAUCCCACCUGGGGAGUACGCCGGCAACGGUGCAACUCAAAUGAAUUGACGGA